UAUAAAACAAUGGAAGGAAACAGAAAGUGUCUCUGGUGAUAAUAAUAUGCGACUUCACUGUAGCUGAUCAACCCCAUGUUCUUGAACACUUGAAGUACCUGUACAAUGCCAUUGGUUUAUGGAGUACUGAAUAUCUGUGAUUGAGAUGAUACAUUGCUACAUACUUCCUCACCUUUUUUACUGAAGCACCUGCACACAAAAUAGCAAAACUAAGCAAAAUAUUGCCAGCUGGAAACUUUCCAAAAAGAUAUGGUUGACUUUUCCAGGUGCAUCGGGCGUGAUCUGUUGGUCCUGUAAGAAUAUUGAGGAAUAGUUGUUUUACGAAGUGCACGUAUGUGUGAAGAGCAAUUGUUGGCUUUACGUAUGCAUCAUUCUCAGAUUGGUCUGGAAUUUCAGUUGUGCCUUUUUCUUCUUGAAAAUAGCACGAAUCUUCUUUCUUCAUGCAUGAUACAGACACUUCAUUUUGUAUUUCCUUUAAAACCUUAGUAUAAAUGUAUAUUAUAUAUUGAAAGUUUGC
Molecule: long non-coding RNA, 517 nt
Organism: Xenia sp. Carnegie-2017
Lineage: Eukaryota; Metazoa; Cnidaria; Anthozoa; Malacalcyonacea; Xeniidae
Exons: 2
Source: RefSeq, a predicted model, not a curated record